AACGAACGCUGGCGGCAUGCCUAACACAUGCAAGUCGAACGAGACCUUCGGGUCUAGUGGCGCACGGGUGCGUAACGCGUGGGAACCUGCCCUUAGGUUUGGAAUAACUCCCCGAAAGGGGUGCUAAUACCGGAUAAUGUCUUCGGACCAAAGAUUUAUCGCCUUUGGAUGGGCCAGCGUUGGAUUAGCUAGUUGGUAGGGUAAAAGACUACCAAGGCGACGAUCCAUAGCUGGUCUGAGAGGAUGAUCAGCCACACUGGGACUGAGACACGGCCCAGACUCCUACGGGAGGCAGCAGUGGGGAAUAUUGGACAAUGGGCGAAAGCCUGAUCCAGCAAUGCCGCGUGAGUGAUGAAGGCCUUAGAGUUGUAAAGCUCUUUUACCCGGGAUGAUAAUGACAGUACCGGGAGAAUAAGCUCCGGCUAACUCCGUG
RNAcentral lists this ribosomal RNA (433 nucleotides) under uncultured bacterium. RNAcentral describes it as "partial 16S ribosomal RNA". It matches the Rfam family "Bacterial small subunit ribosomal RNA", at positions 29 to 507 of the family's 1533-position model. The record is from RNAcentral.